Long non-coding RNA from Aquila chrysaetos chrysaetos, 1823 nucleotides. RefSeq lists it as uncharacterized. The transcript is spliced from 3 exons. Lineage: Eukaryota; Metazoa; Chordata; Aves; Accipitriformes; Accipitridae. The record is from RefSeq and is a predicted model, not a curated record.
CUGCACAUUGCCUCCUCAGCUGGCAUAGCCCCACUGACCCUCCAACAUCCUGGACCCUCAGUUUUGUCCAGCUCCAGGUCUGCACUUUGGCUGACCACGGGCAAGUUGUUUGCAGCCAUGCUCCUCUAUGCCACAUCCUGUGUCUCCACUUCUCAAGGCCUCUGCUGUCCUACCAGUGUAACACCCUAUGAAUAGGCUGAGUACAGCCCUGCAAGAGGCAUAGCCACAUCCAUGGACCUCUGCGCAGGAUGACUCAGCCAUGGUGCAACAUGAGGGAAAUUGUUCUGCUGAAGAGCAAGGUUCAGGGAGAAGAGUGGAAGUAUAAGGUGCUGGAAGGUCUGUGUGGGUGACAUACCAAUGUAUCUGUGCAUGCAGAUAGCCAGCCCUCACUUACUUACACUAAGACGACAGAAAUAUGAAAAAUGGUAGGAAUGAGAAACACCAAAAAGGACAGUACUAGUUUAAAGAACCUGCUGACCAACAAUGAAUGCUGUGAAGACAACCACAUCAAAAGUAUCAAGUAAUGGUACAGCAAACCCAGGACCACUAGGGAACAAGUCAACAUGGUGGACUGCUUAUUUGGAAGAAGAUGAAGAUGUUAAAAAGAACAUGGCAAGAAGGGAAAAAGGGGAUAUGAAGAGAAGAAAAUCAUGUGGGUGAAGCUAAUCAUGGAAGAUGCUGAGUGGCCCUGAGCCAGAUUGGCACAGCAAAACAGGAAAAUAUGUCUGUUUUGCUCUGACCAUAUGUGUGUCUGACUUGCUUCUGUGCUCAGAAGAGAAACUGAGGUGCUUUCCUAAAACGGGGGGCACAUAGGGAACACUUCCUAAAGCUGCAAAGUUGAGCUCAGUAGGGAUAAAUGGUGACCUGAAAGUAAACUUCCUGUUUUGGUUUCCCCAACUGACAGUACCACAUGCAGAAACUGUAUUUGCAUCACACCAAAGUUUUCCAUGGGAAGGAAGAUCCCUUGAAAAAAGAAGAUCUACUGUAGGGUUAGGGUUAGGUUAGAUCUACUAACCCUAGGGUUAAGUCUAGGGUUAGGGAAGAUCUACUGUAAAUUAAACUAGAUGAAAAUCCACAAGCCUUGCUGGGAAUGCAAUGCUGUUAAGUUGCUUACUCACUCACCUAAUACCUUUGUCUUCCUUCAAGGCUGAGUCCUGAUACAGUUACUUUCAGAGGGUUCGUGAGCGGAAGACAAAUCAAGGUACAUUUAUCCAUAAUCGCAGACAGUCUCAGCAUGUGUUAGUGAUGUUGCCAUGCUGAUUUGAAGGGUUUAUUUCAACAACUUGGGAGGACAGUCAGGGCAGUUGCAAUUAUUUUAUCUUCAAGUUCUUACGUCCUGAAAAUGUCAUUACUCACACCAAGUGCUCUUGGUUCUAAGGCCCAGGACAAACAGAACUGUAAGACAGAAAACUCCAUGUGUGUUUGAUUUAUACAAGCCUGAAAUCUUUCUACAUGAUUUCUUUGGUCUCCCUGUGAGUGAACAGGCUGCUAAGCAUAUCUUUGGCACUAAGUUUCAGGUGAAGAUGAGACAGUUUUCAGUCAGAAGCUUAGGAAAGUAUCUGCCAUUGUGAUGGGCUAUGGUCUGGUUUCGUCUUUUUAAUGAUGCUACAGUACUGCUUACAGAUCUUCCUACAGUGAGGGUGCUGCUGUGUCUUAAUGUGGCAAUGGAAACAGUGUAUUUUUCUUCCCCUGUGUCUACUCCCUCCAAGCCCCUGGAUUGGGGAUGCUGCAGAAUGAGAGAAGGGUUUUCCAACAGGAGAUGACAGUGCUGAAACCCAGACCCCUGAGUACUCUGUUCUCAGUACACAGAGCCUGCUUUGAUG